GGUCAGACCUAGAAGUAGCAAUAUGGAGGCCAUUACCAAGGUAAGGGUUUAGGUCAAGAGAUUGGUCACAAUUGCCAAAGGAUUGUGAAAAAGAGAAGACAAGAUGGCCGAAAACGGUUCCUUGUGAAACACUUACACCGAUGAGACAGGAGGAGGAAGGAUCCAGAGAAGGCCCAUAAAGAGAGGAUUCAAGAAGGUGGGAUCUUCAGAAUAAGAAUGAAGAAGGAUCACCGAGAGACAUUGAUAAGAAGCAGUGAACAUCCAGGACAUUCAGAGAGUGGAAGCCAUGUGGUGCUCCGGGAUGAGCUGGUUGGCAAGAAGCUUAUAAAUCAGGAAUAGACAGAGACUAAUGAGAGACUGGAAAUAUGAGAAUGAAGUCAAUAGGAACCUACAGAAGGCAAUGCAGAUACCUCUAGUGAGGAGAGAGUUCUUGAUGGAUUUUUCAGAUGACAUAAAGCCAAUUUUUAUCUGGAAAGGUUUAUUUCAAGCAAAUUUGUGUAGAUAAAACCUUGGGGGAGUAAAAAAAAAAAGCCCCCAAAACAACCCAAACAAGUAGAAAAGCCAAACAAAACUGCUUACAGCAGAAAUCCAGAUAUUUGCUGCAAAACAAUUAGUAAUAGCAUUGGCAAAACAUUCUCGAAAUAGACGAGCUUCACCAUUAGCCUUCUGUGAAUUCAAGCAAAGAGGCAUCAUUAUACAAAUUAUAUGCCUGGAGAAGGGGCUUCUGCAUUGGGAUGAACUUGUAAAAAGAACAUUUAAACCAAAGGCAAUUUUGCCUAUCUGUAAUUUGCUCUAUUCCCCUCGCUAUCAUUGAAGAUAUUUACGCUUGAGCAAAUUUCUCACUCUCAGUCUGAUUUCUCCUUUUUCUCAAUCCAGCCAUGAAGUCAUAAAAUCCCCUGUUUGGGACAAUAUGAUUUGCUGCCAUGGAAACAAUUACCAUGUCACAAAUUCAUCUUGCCCCAUGAGAUGAAAGAGGAAAAGCAAUAAUACUAAUAUUUUGCAGUUCAAUAGUGCCAUUCAUCCAGCAGUCACUAACUAGUAAAUACCAUCGAUUUGCAGGUGGGGAAAACUGGAGCAGCAAAGCUCUCGUGCCUGGUCUUGAGCUCUGGAAUUGCAGACUGUGGCAAGACUGUCCAGAUAUUUGUAAUUCCCACCCAGAGUAGAAGCUAAGGAGCCAAACUCUUGGUCUCCGUUACUCUUUUCGGUUGGGGAAUGAGAGUCGGCUCCUCUCCUGGCGCCUGUACUUCACCAACUGUUCCUAAUUAUGAGAGUAUUUGAUGGAACCUAGUUUGAUAAACAAAUGAAAAGCCCUUGGUAAUUGUCACAGCAGUGAAAGCAUUUACAUCCAUAGGAAUGGAGAAGAAGUUUUGGAAAGCGCACUAAAACUCCAGCACUCACAACCAGCUCCACCUUGGCCUGACACCCCGCCCUCCAUCCCACCUGGAUGCUCAUGGGCUUGGCUCCUGGCCAUCAUUGAUCUUACCUGGAAGCUAAUGGCAUGUAAACCCCGGGGCCCCCUCACGUGUCCAGACCCCUUCCCGAGACUCUAAGAGGUGCCCUAGCCGUGUGUUCACUCAGACUGACCUUUAAAAACAUCUACACUCUAACUUC
Molecule: long non-coding RNA, 1611 nt
Organism: Neofelis nebulosa (Clouded leopard)
Lineage: Eukaryota; Metazoa; Chordata; Mammalia; Carnivora; Felidae
Exons: 3
Source: RefSeq, a predicted model, not a curated record